This 455-nucleotide ribosomal RNA is filed under the name uncultured bacterium. RNAcentral's name for it is "bacterial SSU rRNA". It matches the Rfam family "Bacterial small subunit ribosomal RNA", at positions 340 to 786 of the family's 1533-position model. The record is from RNAcentral.
UACGGAAGGCAGCAGUGGGGAAUAUUGCACAAUGGGCGCAAGCCUGAUGCAGCCAUGCCGCGUGUAUGAAGAAGGCCUUCGGGUUGUAAAGUACUUUCAGUCGUGAGGAAGGUGUUAAGGUUAAUAACUUUAGCAAUUGACGUUAGCGACAGAAGAAGCACCGGCUAACUCCGUGCCAGCAGCCGCGGUAAUACGGAGGGUGCGAGCGUUAAUCGGAAUUACUGGGCGUAAAGGGCACGCAGGCGGUUAAUUAAGUUGGAUGUGAAAUCCCCGGGCUUAACCUGGGAAUGGCAUUCAAGACUGGUUAGCUAGAGUCUUGUAGAGGGGGUAGAAUUCCAUGUGUAGCGGUGAAAUGCGUAGAGAUGUGGAGGAAUACCGGUGGCGAAGGCGGCCCCUGGGACAAAGGACUGACGCUCAUGUGCGAAAGCGUGGGGAGCAAACAGGGAUUAGAUACC